This is a long non-coding RNA of Columba livia (rock pigeon), 327 nucleotides long. RefSeq lists it as uncharacterized. NCBI's taxonomy places the organism in Eukaryota, Metazoa, Chordata, Aves, Columbiformes, Columbidae. The record is from RefSeq and is a predicted model, not a curated record. The transcript has 3 exons.
UACAAGUUCACUGAUGACAGCAAAAGUCUAUUUACUCAGCUACACCCAAGUUCUGCAUGCAGUAGGUUCCUAUCAGAUUUUGGUCUGAGCACAUCAACAUUUUCUGAGAACCGAGAUCUGCAGGUUGACUUGAAGGUAAGCUGACAAGAAAGCAUUGAGCUCUCCGCCCCUGUAAGCUCCAAAGACUUUGCAUUCCAAGUCUGCGCGUUAAGUGAAUGAAGGAUGGGAGAAAAGGAGGGAGAGAAGAGAUGAAACCUCCCCGUACUCCAACUGUCAAAACAGCUCCGAGACCACAACACUAGAAGCAGAGACCUCUUCCUGACUACA